RNAcentral lists this ribosomal RNA (497 nucleotides) under uncultured bacterium. RNAcentral describes it as "partial 16S ribosomal RNA". It matches the Rfam family "Bacterial small subunit ribosomal RNA", at positions 30 to 507 of the family's 1533-position model. The record is from RNAcentral.
AUUGAACGCUGGCGGCAGGCCUAACACAUGCAAGUCGAACGGAAACAGGAAGAGGUUUCCUUCUUUACUGUCGCGUGGCGGACGGGUGUGACAUGUCUGUGAAACUGCUUGAUGGCGGGGGAAAACUACUGGAAACGGUGCCUAAUACCGCAUACCGUCGCAAGACCAAAGAGGGAGACCUUCAGGCCUUUUUCCAUUCGCUUAUACCAGAUGCCGGUCGGGAUUAGCUAGUAGGUCGGGUAACGGCGCACCAAGGCGACGAUGCGUAGCAGACCUGAGAGGAUGAUCGGCCACACUGGAACUGAGACACGGUCCAGACUCCUACGGGAGGCAGCAGUGGGGAAUAUUGCACAAUGGGCGCAAGCCUGAUGGAGCCACGCCGCGUGUAUGAAGAAGGCCUUCGGGUCGUAAAGUACUUUCAGCGGGGAGGAAGGAAGGUAAGAUAAUAUCUGCGCGUAUUGACGUUACCCGCAGAGGAAGCCCCGGCUAACUACGUG